This 1295-nucleotide ribosomal RNA is filed under the name Vibrio vulnificus. RNAcentral's name for it is "partial 23S ribosomal RNA". It matches the Rfam family "Bacterial large subunit ribosomal RNA", at positions 1555 to 2829 of the family's 2925-position model. The record is from RNAcentral. Lineage: Bacteria; Pseudomonadati; Pseudomonadota; Gammaproteobacteria; Vibrionales; Vibrionaceae.
GCUGAGACACGACGUCGAGCUACUACGGUAGUGAAGUCAUUGAUGCCAUGCUUCCAGGAAAAGCCUCUAAGCUUCAGAUUGUAAGGAAUCGUACCCCAAACCGACACAGGUGGUCGGGUAGAGAAUACCAAGGCGCUUGAGAGAACUCGGGUGAAGGAACUAGGCAAAAUGGUACCGUAACUUCGGGAGAAGGUACGCUCUUGAUGGUGAAGUCCCUUGCGGAUGGAGCUGACGAGAGUCGCAGAUACCAGGUGGCUGCAACUGUUUAUUAAAAACACAGCACUGUGCAAAAUCGUAAGAUGACGUAUACGGUGUGACGCCUGCCCGGUGCCGGAAGGUUAAUUGAUGGGGUUAGCGUAAGCGAAGCUCUUGAUCGAAGCCCCGGUAAACGGCGGCCGUAACUAUAACGGUCCUAAGGUAGCGAAAUUCCUUGUCGGGUAAGUUCCGACCUGCACGAAUGGCGUAAUGAUGGCCACGCUGUCUCCACCCGAGACUCAGUGAAAUUGAAAUCGCUGUGAAGAUGCAGUGUACCCGCGGCUAGACGGAAAGACCCCGUGAACCUUUACUACAGCUUGGCACUGAACAUUGAACCUACAUGUGUAGGAUAGGUGGGAGGCUUUGAAGACGUGACGCCAGUUGCGUUGGAGCCGUCCUUGAAAUACCACCCUUGUAUGUUUGAUGUUCUAACGUUGGCCCCUAAUCGGGGUUGCGGACAGUGCCUGGUGGGUAGUUUGACUGGGGCGGUCUCCUCCCAAAGAGUAACGGAGGAGCACGAAGGUGGGCUAAUCACGGUUGGACAUCGUGAGGUUAGUGCAAUGGCAUAAGCCCGCUUAACUGCGAGAAUGACGGUUCGAGCAGGUGCGAAAGCAGGUCAUAGUGAUCCGGUGGUUCUGAAUGGAAGGGCCAUCGCUCAACGGAUAAAAGGUACUCCGGGGAUAACAGGCUGAUACCGCCCAAGAGUUCAUAUCGACGGCGGUGUUUGGCACCUCGAUGUCGGCUCAUCACAUCCUGGGGCUGAAGUCGGUCCCAAGGGUAUGGCUGUUCGCCAUUUAAAGUGGUACGCGAGCUGGGUUUAGAACGUCGUGAGACAGUUCGGUCCCUAUCUGCCGUGGGCGUUGGAAGAUUGAAGGGGGCUGCUCCUAGUACGAGAGGACCGGAGUGGACGAACCUCUGGUGUUCGGGUUGUGUCGCCAGACGCAUUGCCCGGUAGCUAAGUUCGGAAUCGAUAACCGCUGAAAGCAUCUAAGCGGGAAGCGAGCCCUGAGAUGAGUCUUCCCUGAUACUUUAAGUAUCCU